UGAGCCUCUUCCCUGGUCUGGGCCGCCUCCAAUCGACGCCAUGAAGGGCUCCGACCCCGAGAUCGAUUCCGUCCGUCGCCUCCUCGAGUCGUCCACUGGCGCUCCAUCACGGUGCCCAGCCUCUGCAACUGCGGCCUGAUGAAAGUUGAAGAUGCUAUCCAUAGAGGCAUAACUGUUCCCAAUUAAGGAAGCCAAAUAUCCUGGAGAAACUUUACCGAGUUUGGAUGGAACAGAUGAGUGAUGAGAAGUUAGAGCACUUUAUUUUGUACAUUUUUUUUGUGAAUUUUACUGGAUGUAUUCACAUGUGUCCCGAUGUAUAAUUGCAAAGCUAAUAAAUAGUAUAUGGACGUGAUGGAUGGGUUACGUCAAUUGUUUUUUUU
Molecule: long non-coding RNA, 380 nt
Organism: Lolium rigidum
Lineage: Eukaryota; Viridiplantae; Streptophyta; Magnoliopsida; Poales; Poaceae
Exons: 2
Source: RefSeq, a predicted model, not a curated record